Molecule: ribosomal RNA, 1434 nt
Filed under: uncultured bacterium
Lineage: Bacteria
Description: bacterial SSU rRNA
Rfam family: Bacterial small subunit ribosomal RNA
Source: RNAcentral
AGAGUUUGAUCCUGGCUCAGGAUGAACGCCGGCGGUGUGCCUAAUACAUGCAAGUCGUACGCACUGGCCCAACUGAUUGAUGGUGCUUGCACCUGAUUGACGAUGGAUCACCAGUGAGUGGCGGACGGGUGAGUAACACGUAGGUAACCUGCCUCGGAGCGGGGGAUGACAUUUGGAAACAGAUGCUAAUACCGCAUAACAACAAAAGCCACAUGGCUUUUGUUUGAAAGAUGGCUUUGGCUAUCACUCUGGGAUGGACCUGCGGUGCAUUAGCUAGUUGGUAAGGUAACGGCUUACCAAGGCAAUGAUGCAUAGCCGAGUUGAGAGACUGAUCGGCCACAAUGGGAACUGAGACACGGUCCAUACUCCUACGGGAGGCAGCAGUAGGGAAUCUUCCACAAUGGGCGCAAGCCUGAUGGAGCAACACCGCGUGAGUGAAGAAGGGUUUCGGCUCGUAAAGCUCUGUUGUUGGAGAAGAACGUGCGUGAGAGUAACUGUUCACGCAGUGACGGUAUCCAACCAGAAAGUCACGGCUAACUACGUGCCAGCAGCCGCGGUAAUACGUAGGUGGCAAGCGUUAUCCGGAUUUAUUGGGCGUAAAGCGAGCGCAGGCGGUUGCUUAGGUCUGAUGUGAAAGCCUUCGGCUUAACCGAAGAAGUGCAUCGGAAACCGGGCGACUUGAGUGCAGAAGAGGACAGUGGAACUCCAUGUGUAGCGGUGGAAUGCGUAGAUAUAUGGAAGAACACCAGUGGCGAAGGCGGCUGUCUGGUCUGCAACUGACGCUGAGGCUCGAAAGCAUGGGUAGCGAACAGGAUUAGAUACCCUGGUAGUCCAUGCCGUAAACGAUGAGUGCUAGGUGUUGGAGGGUUUCCGCCCUUCAGUGCCGGAGCUAACGCAUUAAGCACUCCGCCUGGGGAGUACGACCGCAAGGUUGAAACUCAAAGGAAUUGACGGGGGCCCGCACAAGCGGUGGAGCAUGUGGUUUAAUUCGAAGCUACGCGAAGAACCUUACCAGGUCUUGACAUCUUGCGCUAACCUUAGAGAUAAGGCGUUCCCUUCGGGGACGCAAUGACAGGUGGUGCAUGGUCGUCGUCAGCUCGUGUCGUGAGAUGUUGGGUUAAGUCCCGCAACGAGCGCAACCCUUGUUACUAGUUGCCAGCAUUAAGUUGGGCACUCUAGUGAGACUGCCGGUGACAAACCGGAGGAAGGUGGGGACGACGUCAGAUCAUCAUGCCCCUUAUGACCUGGGCUACACACGUGCUACAAUGGACGGUACAACGAGUCGCAAGCUCGCGAGAGUAAGCUAAUCUCUUAAAGCCGUUCUCAGUUCGGACUGUAGGCUGCAACUCGCCUACACGAAGUCGGAAUCGCUAGUAAUCGCGGAUCAGCAUGCCGCGGUGAAUACGUUCCCGGGCCUUGCACACACGCCCGUCA